CGUUUUUGAUGAAAGUGAAGAAUGGGGUUGAAGAUGAAGGUCUUAGACUCAAGGACAAGGAAGAAACAUGAAGAAAAGAAGAGUCUAGGAACCGCCCAGUGCCAAAAUCUAACGCUGGGCGGCCAAAUGCGAGGAGAAGCCACUGUCUAGCGCCCAAGCGGUGAAGCCAGGGAAUUCUGCGACUAGAGGCAAACCGUCGGGCGGUGAAACUAGGCGGUGGGCGGUUUUCAG
RNAcentral lists this long non-coding RNA (231 nucleotides) under Vigna radiata. Its description in RNAcentral is "long non-coding RNA (VRAD_LNC002116)". Lineage: Eukaryota; Viridiplantae; Streptophyta; Magnoliopsida; Fabales; Fabaceae. The record is from RNAcentral.